UUUUAUAUAAAGGGGCAGCAAGAAUUUCGGUUUAAAAGUUGGCGGAUUAUUAUUUGCAUCCUUAGAAUGUUUAGCCUCACUAACGAGUACAUCAAUAUCUUACUUUACCGUUAUGUAUUCUACACAGAAGUAAUAUGAAUAAUGUAACAUAUUGUAACAUAUUAUAAUAGAAUAGAUAAAUAUAAAACAAAUAACUAAUUACGUUGAUCUGUAAUCGUGACUAUUAAACUGUUAAAUGAAGAGAUGUAGAACGAAGAUAAUAUAUCUUUCUUUUUCGUUAUGA
Long non-coding RNA from Ooceraea biroi (clonal raider ant), 283 nucleotides. RefSeq lists it as uncharacterized. The record is from RefSeq and is a predicted model, not a curated record. NCBI's taxonomy places the organism in Eukaryota, Metazoa, Arthropoda, Insecta, Hymenoptera, Formicidae.